RNAcentral lists this ribosomal RNA (253 nucleotides) under uncultured bacterium. RNAcentral's name for it is "partial 16S ribosomal RNA". It matches the Rfam family "Bacterial small subunit ribosomal RNA", at positions 524 to 776 of the family's 1533-position model. The record is from RNAcentral.
GACGGAGGAUGCAAGUGUUAUCCGGAAUCACUGGGCGUAAAGCGUCUGUAGGUGGUUAAAUAAGUCAACUGUUAAAUCUUGAGGCUCAACUUCAAAAUCGCAGUCGAAACUAUUAGACUAGAGUAUAGUAGGGGUAAAGGGAAUUUCCAGUGGAGCGGUGAAAUGCGUAGAGAUUGGAAAGAACACCAAUGGCGAAAGCACUUUACUGGGCUAUUACUGACACUGAGAGACGAAAGCUAGGGUAGCAAAUGGG